Lycium barbarum (goji berry) is the source of this 1537-nucleotide long non-coding RNA. RefSeq lists it as uncharacterized. The transcript has 4 exons. Lineage: Eukaryota; Viridiplantae; Streptophyta; Magnoliopsida; Solanales; Solanaceae. The record is from RefSeq and is a predicted model, not a curated record.
ACCAUUAUUGCGAAAAUUGGGGAAGUUGUAUUUGGAUUGGUUUUUAUAUUCUAUUAGUGUAUUUUUGUUCAUAAUAACUUCCUAUUUUCAAAGAUUUUGAAGCGUAUUCAACUUCCAAUCCUUUCUUUUUUCUUCUCCAAUACCUUCCUUCACGAUUCUUCAUCUUCAAAUCAUUGUUGCGGAAAUUGGGGAAAGUUGUGUUUGGGAAGCAGUUCAUCGAAGAUCCAUGUGCCUAUUUUUGACAAAAAAAUUCCAUUUGAGAAAGAUCCCAUAACCGGUCCACUUGAUGUACAGCUUCUUGAUCAAUACCGUGCGUGGCUUCGUCAGGGAUUAAUUGUCAGGCACGAUAACAAAAUAAGGAUGACCAUUACAAAAAGUAGAUGGCAGUUUUUGAGCAUGGGGGCGAGUACAAUUUUGGCAUCACAACUGUCGCCGAUAAAAAUUGGUUCUACCUUUUAUCAAUGCCUUGUCAACUCUGGAAUGAUGAGGUGCAAUAUAGCUGACUAUAUACUUAGUUAUUUGAAAUACUUCAUGUAUUUUUUGGUGUUUUUAACUACUGUAUUUAAUGAUUGCAACACAUUGACGUCAUUUUCUACUACUCUCGAAAGAAAGGCAAGUAUGACAAAAGGACCAAUUACAAAUUCACUACGGUGGACUGUGUAUUCAGGCAGAAGGUUGAUGUUGUCUAUAGUGCCUAUCACAAUCUUGAAACUUAAACCAAUGUAGCCAAUGAAGAGAAAGUGUUGUGCGAGUACGUGAAGGGGCACAGGAUUCUUGCAAAUGUCCUGUGGCAUACGGUUGACAAUGUGCUGAUUCCAGUCAACAUACAAAAAUAAAAUCACUGGAUAUUGGUUGUGCUUUCAUUUAAGGACAGAUAAUUUUAUAUAUAUAUAUUUUGUUAAGAUAAGUGUUGGAUGUAUUUUGAAUGAAGAUACUGAUACCUUUUUCUAUGCAUAUAUUUUUGUGUGUUUUGGUAUCGUUAUUUUACGGACAGGCGUCUUUAUGUGUACGACUCGUAUCAAGCAGCAGGGCAUAAUGCAGUUGUUAAGGCUGAAGUACAGAAACUUGCUACACUUCUACCACAUUUCCUACAUAUUGGUGGAUUCUUCAUAGACCAAAAAGGCAUAGAUUUGGUCAAAGACCCAGCUUAUACGGAUAAGGCACAAAAUGAUAGUCUUGAAGUAGUCUAUGCUGAAAAACUGCCUCAGCAAGCCAGUGGUAGCAUGGAUUGUGGUGUUUACGUGGCAUCAUUUGCUGAGAAUUUGAGCUCAGGUGGAGUGGUUCCAACUACAGUUGAUGCAACGAUGAUGCGUAUGAGAUAUGGUGCACUCCUAUGGGACUACGCAGAACGAAAGGUAGCUGAAGAUGCUCAGAGUGAUAAUGAGGUGCCACCAAGACCAAUUAGGCCAACCAUAGAUUACGCAUUCGUUGAUGCAAUCGAUGUUUGAUUAGUACUAAUUUAUAACUUUGGAUUAAAUACCAGAUUUGUGACUGGUUUUAAGUGAACCUAUUUUGGCAUACAUUUUUUGGUUUUAGA